AGUGAACGCUGGCGGUAGGCCUAACACAUGCAAGUCGAACGGCAGCACAGUAAGAGCUUGCCCUUACGGGUGGCGAGUGGCGGACGGGUGAGGAAUACAUCGGAAUCUACUUUUUCGUGGGGGAUAACGUAGGGAAACUUACGCUAAUACCGCAUACGACCUACGGGUGAAAGCAGGGGAUCUUCGGACCUUGCGCGAUUGAAUGAGCCGAUGUCGGAUUAGCUAGUUGGCGGGGUAAAGGCCCACCAAGGCGACGAUCCGUAGCUGGUCUGAGAGGAUGAUCAGCCACACUGGAACUGAGACACGGUCCAGACUCCUACGGGAGGCAGCAGUGGGGAAUAUUGGACAAUGGGCGCAAGCCUGAUCCAGCCAUACCGCGUGGGUGAAGAAGGCCUUCGGGUUGUAAAGCCCUUUUGUUGGGAAAGAAAAGCAGCAGGUUAAUACCCCGCUGUUCUGACGGUACCCAAAGAAUAGGCACCGGCUAACUUCG
Molecule: ribosomal RNA, 490 nt
Filed under: uncultured bacterium
Lineage: Bacteria
Description: partial 16S ribosomal RNA
Rfam family: Bacterial small subunit ribosomal RNA
Source: RNAcentral